Molecule: signal recognition particle RNA, 101 nt
Filed under: Lachnospiraceae bacterium
Lineage: Bacteria; Bacillati; Bacillota; Clostridia; Lachnospirales; Lachnospiraceae
Description: signal recognition particle sRNA small type
Rfam family: Bacterial small signal recognition particle RNA
About the family: The signal recognition particle (SRP) is a universally conserved ribonucleoprotein involved in the co-translational targeting of proteins to membranes.
Source: RNAcentral
GGUGCGGCCUUCGCGCGGCGAAAGGCUUUGAACCGUGUCAGGGCAGAAAUGCAGCAGCACUAAGAGGUAUCUUUCGGGUGAUGCGAACCAGCCCCCGGGUA